This 2924-nucleotide ribosomal RNA is filed under the name Klebsiella quasipneumoniae. RNAcentral's name for it is "23S ribosomal RNA". It matches the Rfam family "Bacterial large subunit ribosomal RNA". Lineage: Bacteria; Pseudomonadati; Pseudomonadota; Gammaproteobacteria; Enterobacterales; Enterobacteriaceae. The record is from RNAcentral.
GGGUUGUGAGGUUAAGCGACUAAGCGUACACGGUGGAUGCCCUGGCAGUCAGAGGCGAUGAAGGACGUGCUAAUCUGCGAAAAGCGUCGGUAAGGUGAUAUGAACCGUUAUAACCGGCGAUGUCCGAAUGGGGAAACCCAGUGUGAUUCGUCACACUAUCGUUAACUGAAUACAUAGGUUAACGAGGCGAACCGGGGGAACUGAAACAUCUAAGUACCCCGAGGAAAAGAAAUCAACCGAGAUUCCCCCAGUAGCGGCGAGCGAACGGGGAGCAGCCCAGAGUCUGAAUCAGCUUGUGUGUUAGUGGAACGGUCUGGAAAGUCCGACGGUACAGGGUGAUAGUCCCGUACACCAAAAUGCACAGGCUGUGAACUCGAAGAGUAGGGCGGGACACGUGGUAUCCUGUCUGAAUAUGGGGGGACCAUCCUCCAAGGCUAAAUACUCCUGACUGACCGAUAGUGAACCAGUACCGUGAGGGAAAGGCGAAAAGAACCCCGGCGAGGGGAGUGAAAAAGAACCUGAAACCGUGUACGUACAAGCAGUGGGAGCACCUUUAUGGUGUGACUGCGUACCUUUUGUAUAAUGGGUCAGCGACUUAUAUUCUGUAGCAAGGUUAACCGUAUAGGGGAGCCGCAGGGAAACCGAGUCUUAACUGGGCGUUAAGUUGCAGGGUAUAGACCCGAAACCCGGUGAUCUAGCCAUGGGCAGGUUGAAGGUUGGGUAACACUAACUGGAGGACCGAACCGACUAAUGUUGAAAAAUUAGCGGAUGACUUGUGGCUGGGGGUGAAAGGCCAAUCAAACCGGGAGAUAGCUGGUUCUCCCCGAAAGCUAUUUAGGUAGCGCCUCGUGAAUUCAUCUUCGGGGGUAGAGCACUGUUUCGGCUAGGGGGUCAUCCCGACUUACCAACCCGAUGCAAACUACGAAUACCGAAGAAUGUUAUCACGGGAGACACACGGCGGGUGCUAACGUCCGUCGUGAAGAGGGAAACAACCCAGACCGCCAGCUAAGGUCCCAAAGUCAUGGUUAAGUGGGAAACGAUGUGGGAAGGCACAGACAGCCAGGAUGUUGGCUUAGAAGCAGCCAUCAUUUAAAGAAAGCGUAAUAGCUCACUGGUCGAGUCGGCCUGCGCGGAAGAUGUAACGGGGCUAAACCAUGCACCGAAGCUGCGGCAGCGACACUAUGUGUUGUUGGGUAGGGGAGCGUUCUGUAAGCCUGCGAAGGUGACCUGUGAGGGUUGCUGGAGGUAUCAGAAGUGCGAAUGCUGACAUAAGUAACGAUAAAGCGGGUGAAAAGCCCGCUCGCCGGAAGACCAAGGGUUCCUGUCCAACGUUAAUCGGGGCAGGGUGAGUCGACCCCUAAGGCGAGGCCGAAAGGCGUAGUCGAUGGGAAACAGGUUAAUAUUCCUGUACUUGGUGUUACUGCGAAGGGGGGACGGAGAAGGCUAUGUUAGCCGGGCGACGGUUGUCCCGGUUUAAGCAUGUAGGCUGGUUAUCCAGGCAAAUCCGGAUAAUCAAGGCUGAGGUGUGAUGACGAGGCACUACGGUGCUGAAGUAACAAAUGCCCUGCUUCCAGGAAAAGCCUCUAAGCAUCAGGUAACAUCAAAUCGUACCCCAAACCGACACAGGUGGUCAGGUAGAGAAUACCAAGGCGCUUGAGAGAACUCGGGUGAAGGAACUAGGCAAAAUGGUGCCGUAACUUCGGGAGAAGGCACGCUGGUGUGUAGGUGAAGUCCCUGCGGAUGGAGCUGAGACCAGUCGAAGAUACCAGCUGGCUGCAACUGUUUAUUAAAAACACAGCACUGUGCAAACACGAAAGUGGACGUAUACGGUGUGACGCCUGCCCGGUGCCGGAAGGUUAAUUGAUGGGGUUAUCCGUAAGGAGAAGCUCUUGAUCGAAGCCCCGGUAAACGGCGGCCGUAACUAUAACGGUCCUAAGGUAGCGAAAUUCCUUGUCGGGUAAGUUCCGACCUGCACGAAUGGCGUAAUGAUGGCCAGGCUGUCUCCACCCGAGACUCAGUGAAAUUGAACUCGCUGUGAAGAUGCAGUGUACCCGCGGCAAGACGGAAAGACCCCGUGAACCUUUACUAUAGCUUGACACUGAACAUUGAGCCUUGAUGUGUAGGAUAGGUGGGAGGCUUUGAAGCGUGGACGCCAGUCUGCGUGGAGCCAACCUUGAAAUACCACCCUUUAAUGUUUGAUGUUCUAACGUUGGCCCCUUAUCGGGGUUGCGGACAGUGUCUGGUGGGUAGUUUGACUGGGGCGGUCUCCUCCCAAAGCGUAACGGAGGAGCACGAAGGUUAGCUAAUCCUGGUCGGACAUCAGGAGGUUAGUGCAAUGGCAUAAGCUAGCUUGACUGCGAGCGUGACGGCGCGAGCAGGUGCGAAAGCAGGUCAUAGUGAUCCGGUGGUUCUGAAUGGAAGGGCCAUCGCUCAACGGAUAAAAGGUACUCCGGGGAUAACAGGCUGAUACCGCCCAAGAGUUCAUAUCGACGGCGGUGUUUGGCACCUCGAUGUCGGCUCAUCACAUCCUGGGGCUGAAGUAGGUCCCAAGGGUAUGGCUGUUCGCCAUUUAAAGUGGUACGCGAGCUGGGUUUAGAACGUCGUGAGACAGUUCGGUCCCUAUCUGCCGUGGGCGCUGGAGAAUUGAGGGGGGCUGCUCCUAGUACGAGAGGACCGGAGUGGACGCAUCACUGGUGUUCGGGUUGUCAUGCCAAUGGCACUGCCCGGUAGCUAAAUGCGGAAGAGAUAAGUGCUGAAAGCAUCUAAGCACGAAACUUGCCCCGAGAUGAGUUCUCCCUGAGACUAUAAGUCUCCUGAAGGAACGUUAAAGACGAUGACGUUGAUAGGCCGGGUGUGUAAGCGCAGCGAUGCGUUGAGCUAACCGGUACUAAUGAACCGUGAGGCUUAACCUUACAACGCCGAAG